This 361-nucleotide ribosomal RNA is filed under the name uncultured fungus. RNAcentral's name for it is "eukaryotic LSU rRNA". The stretch from base 30 to 183 matches the Rfam family "5.8S ribosomal RNA". Lineage: Eukaryota; Fungi. The record is from RNAcentral.
GUCAAUGUUGGAAUUAUAGUAAUCGUUAAAACUUUCAACAACGGAUCUCUUGGUUCUCGCAUCGAUGAAGAGCGCAGCGAAAUGCGAUAAGUAGUGUGAAUUGCAGAAUUCCGUGAAUCAUCGAGUUCUUGAACGCAUAUUGCGCCUUCAGGCAUUCCUGAAGGCAUGCCUGUUCGAGCGUCAUCAAACAUCCUGUCAAGGAUCGGUUUGGACAUUGCCACCGGUUCUUGGUUUUGAUUAAAGAGCGGAUGUGAAGCCGUUCUUGAUUGAAUUAUAUUUGCAAAGAUUGGAAUGCACGAUUCGACGUGAUAAAACUUCAUUUCGUCCGAGCUUGUUCUCGCUUUGCUCCAUUCCGGUUCCG